GGAGAUGCUAUGGCUCAAUUGUAGAACAUCUGCUUUGCCCGCAGACGAUCCCAGGUUCAAUUCCCAGCAUCUUUCA
Molecule: transfer RNA, 76 nt
Filed under: Sphaerodactylus townsendi
Lineage: Eukaryota; Metazoa; Chordata; Lepidosauria; Squamata; Sphaerodactylidae
Description: tRNA-Ala
Source: RNAcentral